AUCUAAUGGCUCCCAUUUUGUAGCAAUUCGGUCACUAUUGCUCAAUUUCGAAGUAGUAGCUAGAACAAAAAACAAAUAGUAAUUCACAUAACAUUUGGUUGGCAUGGUAGAGAGGACAGAUGGCAAUAUCGUAGAGAGAUCGAAUACACAGAAGAGAAAGCACCGGACCGUCUUCCUAACCCGGCCAUAUAAACCUAACCAUAUAUAAAAGCCCCUCACACUCUUCGGACCCAAUCCCCUCACACCGCCUCCGCCGAACUCUUCCAUCGAAGCUCACCGAGCGUUUCAAGGUUCAGACUGUAUUGAAGAGUGAACAUGAUGGCCACCACACCCAAAAACCUCGAGGAACUGAAGCAAUCAACAGAUCUCAAGCUUAAGAAGGCUUGCCUGAGAAAUGUGUUUGAAAGCGUUGUUUGUAGAAUGUCCGACCUAGGCAUCGACAGUGGAUCGUUGGAUCCCAAACUCAUCGAAAUUGUGGACGGGAGAGCCUAUCUGCCCGAGGACGUGGUUGAAGCAGGAGGCGCACUGCCACUCUACCUUCCCGCGCUGAAGAACCUUGUGAUCGAUGUGCACGCCCGAGACCAUGAACUGAUGAGUCCAAGGGAGCGGUUGCAGUACGAUGAUUUUAAGCUCUACUUGGGUAGACUCAUCACUGUGAGACAUCUGGAAAUGAUAUGUGUACAUCCACAUUUUCAUACAGCAGCAGAAGAACUAUAGUUUAUACCAAGAGCGCGCAUGAGGUUAUUCGCCAUUCCUGAAAAUCCGAAUCACAAGCCCAAACAUCCAAAUGAAAAUAGGAAGCGCCACUUCCCAAAAGUGAUCGACGACCAUCAAGUUAAUCCAUCUCAAGCAGCAACAGAUCCAAAUUUAAUGAAAUGGGAGAAAGCUUAUGAUGUGAUGGUGAAGGAGACAAGGCAAGUGAACAUUAAGCAAUCCAUUUCAGGACUUGCCACUGAGUUUCAUCAAAUUCACAAAGAUGGAAUGAUGCGCAAAACAAAAACAGCUGAAGGAUAUCAAGAUAAGGAUGCUGCUGAUGAGGUGCAUUACUUUUGCAAUACAAUGAAGCACAUUUGGAAAAAGUUUCCCCAGGGUUUAGUAAGUUACUAACUAAAGCUAAAUUUUCUAAACAUAUAUGUUGAAAACAUUUGAUAAUUUUGUUUUUGUUUGUUUAAAAAGAAAACUUAUGAUAAAGCUAAACAUAACCUUGAAGCUACACUUGCCGCAUUGCAUCGCAUGUCGCCAACAAUUCCGACAUAAAUGUUUUGAUUUUUCUGGCGCUAUGAUGGAUACGCUUCAGGAAUCAUUUCUCUUAACUUUUUCAAGGACAGCAGGUAGUAAUAAAGAUUUCUUUUGAGGAGGGCGACCUUGUGUUUGGGGAGACUAGUGAAGAAGACUAAUGGUUAUCAGUUUCAAUAGAAGCUAAAUGUUUGAAUCAUACGUAACUGUUAUGAUUCAGUUCAUCUGUUAUGACUUUCUCCUUCCGUUUAUAUUCCUGUUCCACUCUAAAAGUGUUGGUAUUAAUCGGAAUGUGUUUCCUUAAUCUGUUUGCCUGCCCAGUAUAUCAGACUACAGGCUUAGAGACAACUAGAUUUAUGUAUCCGUAUGGAUUUUAUAUUGCAAGACUUUUAUUUGGAGACUUUUAUUUUUUAUAAUUUUGUAUGACUAAUUGGCAUUGGUAUUGUUCUAUAUUUUGUUUGCUAAAAAUAUCAUUAGAGUUACUCAGAAGUUGAACCUAGAUUUCUCCAAUUUCUAGGAAGUAACAGACAUUGAAACUAUUUGAAGUUACCCACAAUUCCCUGAGAAGUUGAGGCCACCUUCGGUCGAAACAAAGGGCAAGAGAUCAACCUCUUGGCCCAGCAAUAGAAGCUAAUGAGUAGUAAAACAACACCCCAUUGAGUCAUUUGCAAACGGGAAAUUUUGCAAUACAUUUAGGCUGCCCAACUUCUGCAACAAUUGAAUCGAGAAUAGGAUACUAAAAAAAAACUAAUAGAAGAAUCAAGCAGAAUUUAGCCCCAAAAGAAAAACAAUCAAUCAAGCAAAAAAAAUCUGAUUGAAAUUUACCUAAGCAUAUCUAUUAUGUUUAAGUUUAACGUGUUGAGUGUUAAGGAAACGAUAGAAAUAUUAAAGGAUUGGUCUGAUGAACCGAUAUUUGAGAGUUUAGAUAAAGAAAACAAUACCUUGUAACUUAUGUAAGCCAAUUUGAAUCGUAACAAUCCGGUUAGUAGAGGAUCUGAAACAGAAGGCAGACAGAAGAUGCAUAUAUUGGAAGAAAGGGUUUAGAUACGAUACACGUAUUUAUAUGAACCAUUGAUCUGAUUCAAGAGUAAUGAAUACCAAUCGAUUACAUAUUAUA
Rosa chinensis is the source of this 2353-nucleotide RNA transcript. RefSeq lists it as uncharacterized. The record is from RefSeq and is a predicted model, not a curated record. The transcript is spliced from 4 exons. Lineage: Eukaryota; Viridiplantae; Streptophyta; Magnoliopsida; Rosales; Rosaceae.